AAAAAGAUGGCUAAAAGGAGGAAGAAGGGAACGGGUUAGGAUGGAAUUAGGGUUAGGGUUCGGCCAGUUGUCGGAGAAGUCAGAGAGAAGAAGGAGAUGGAAAAAAAAAGAAAAAAAAUAAAAUAACCGCAUCAAAGAAAGAUAGAAUGAGCUUUAGAUAAGGAGGAAUAGAAGGAGAAGGGUUACCCAUGGUGAUGACGGUGGUGAUGGAACCAAGGGAGAGAGCAUAGAUGGCGGCCAUUUUGCUCAUACCAAGCAAAAUAAGAAACAACAAAAAAAUGGCCAUGGUUCUUGGCGAAGCCCGGGCUUGUACAUCAUUGCCGCUGCUCCCUCAGGCUCAGUGUCCUCCCCAGCUUACUGGCCAUCGGUCAUAACGGCGGUGAUGGCAUCUCCUCCAUGGAGAGAGCAAAAACAACAAUGGUGGGAGAAAUCAGGGGGGAUGAGGGUUUUGAGAGGGGUGGAUGGGUGGCAAAGGUUGAAUACCAAGAUGGAGGAGAGGGAAAAAACAUGGAUCGGGUGGAAGGGUGUUGGGAGUGGUGGUGGUUGUAGGAGAAAGGGGGUAGAUGAGGAUUUUGAGAGGGGCGGUGGCGGUGGCAGCGG
RNAcentral lists this long non-coding RNA (600 nucleotides) under Elaeis guineensis (African oil palm). RNAcentral describes it as "long non-coding RNA (EGUI_LNC077097)". Lineage: Eukaryota; Viridiplantae; Streptophyta; Magnoliopsida; Arecales; Arecaceae. The record is from RNAcentral.